CGCGGGAUUGGGACGGGGGGCAGCAGGCGCGAAAACUUUACCAUGCGGGCAACCGUGAUAAGGAAACCCCGAGUGCCAGCAACGGCUGGCUGUCCGCCAGUGUACAUAACUGGUGAAGAAAGGGCCGGGCAAGACCGGUGCCAGCCGCCGCGGUAAUACCGGCGGCUCGAGUGGUGGCCGCUAUUACUGGGCUUAAAGGGUCCGUAGCUGGAUGUACAAGUCCCUUGAGAAAUCCGCGGGCUUAACCUGCGGGCGUUCAGGGGAAACUGUAUUUCUAGGGACCGGGAGAGGUGAGAGGUACUGCCGGGGUAGGAGUGAAAUCCUGUAAUCCCGGUGGGACCACCUAUGGCGAAGGCAUCUCACCAGAACGGGUCCGACAGUGAGGGACGAAAGCUGGGGGAGCAAACCGGAUUAGAUACCCGGGUAGUCCCAGCUGUAAACGAUGCGCGUUAGGUGUGUCAGUGACCACGUGUCACUGAGGUGCCGAAGGGAAACCGUGAAACGCGCCGCCUGGGGAGUACGGUCGCAAGGCUGAAACUUAAAGGAAUUGGCGGGGGAGCACCACAACGGGUGGAGCCUGCGGUUUAAUCGGACUCAACGCCGGGAAUCUCACCGGAUAAGACAGCUGUAUGAUAGUCGGGAUGAAGACUCUACUUGACUAGCUGAGAGGAGGUGCAUGGCCGUCGUCAGUUCGUACUGUGAAGCAUCCUGUUUAGUCAGGCAGCGAGCGAGACCCACGCGAGCAGUUGCCAGCUUGACCUUCGGGUUGAUGGGGACACUGCUCGGACCGCCUCUGCUAAAGGGGAGGAAGGAAUGGGCAACGGUAGGUCAGCAUGCCCCGAAUUAUCCGGGCUACACGCGGGCUACAAUGGUCAGGACAAUGGGUUUCUACACCGAGAGGUGAUGACAAUCUCCUAAACCUGUCCGAAGUUCGGAUUGCGGGUUGUAACUCACCCGCAUGAAGCUGGAAUCCGUAGUAAUCGCGUUUCAACAUAGCGCGGUGAAUAUGUCCCUGCUCCUUGCACGAAUUCGCCUAAUCACUAGU
This 1045-nucleotide ribosomal RNA is filed under the name uncultured Methanospirillum sp. Its description in RNAcentral is "bacterial SSU rRNA". It matches the Rfam family "Archaeal small subunit ribosomal RNA", at positions 309 to 1478 of the family's 1478-position model. Lineage: Archaea; Methanobacteriati; Methanobacteriota; Methanomicrobia; Methanomicrobiales; Methanospirillaceae. The record is from RNAcentral.